Molecule: ribosomal RNA, 93 nt
Filed under: Dysgonomonas sp. GY617
Lineage: Bacteria; Pseudomonadati; Bacteroidota; Bacteroidia; Bacteroidales; Dysgonomonadaceae
Source: RNAcentral
GGGGAUCCACCUCUUCCCAUUCCGAACAGAGAAGUUAAGCCCAACCACGUCGAUGGUACUGCCGUUAGGUGGGAGAGUAGAUAGCCGCCCUCU